GUCAUUUGAUCCAAUAGCGUUCUAAUUUGAUUGGAAGGUUUGGCACCUUGAAGUCAGCUCUUCGCCACCUAGGGCCGUAGUAUGUUCUAAGGGUUGGGCUGUUCGACCAUUAAAGCGGUACAUGAGCUAGGUUCAGAACGUUAUGAGAUAGCUC
Molecule: non-coding RNA, 154 nt
Organism: Ricinus communis (castor bean)
Lineage: Eukaryota; Viridiplantae; Streptophyta; Magnoliopsida; Malpighiales; Euphorbiaceae
Source: Rfam